GGGAGGAAUAUUGCACAAUGGGGGAAACCCAGAUGCAGCAACGCCGCGUGAGCGAAGAAGGCCUUCGGGUUGUAAAGCUCUUUUCCGAGGGAUGAGUAAGGACAGUACCUCGGGAAUAAGUCUCGGCUAACUACGUGCCAGCAGCCGCGGUAACACGUAGGAGGCGAGCGUUAUCCGGAUUUACUGGGCGUAAAGGGCAAGUAGGCGGUGGUCAAAGUUGGGUGUGACAUCUCCCGGCUCAACUGGGAGGGGCCACUCAAAACUAGGCGACUAGAGGGCAGGAGAGGUAAGCGGAAUUCCUAGUGUAGCGGUGGAAUGCUCAGAUAUUAGGAAGAACACCAGUGGCGAAGGCGGCUUACUGGCCUGUACCUGACGCUGAGAGGCGAAAGCUAGGGGAGCGAACGGGUUUAGAAACCCUGGUAGUCC
RNAcentral lists this ribosomal RNA (426 nucleotides) under uncultured bacterium. RNAcentral's name for it is "bacterial SSU rRNA". It matches the Rfam family "Bacterial small subunit ribosomal RNA", at positions 354 to 796 of the family's 1533-position model. The record is from RNAcentral.